Molecule: long non-coding RNA, 1171 nt
Organism: Scylla paramamosain (green mud crab)
Lineage: Eukaryota; Metazoa; Arthropoda; Malacostraca; Decapoda; Portunidae
Exons: 5
Source: RefSeq, a predicted model, not a curated record
AAGUAUGCCUUUUCUCAUCCAUAGAUUUUUUCAGGUGUCAAAAAUGCCUCAUUUUGGCUUUCCCCACCCAAAAAACCCACAUUCCCACCAGGCUCCUAUUCUUGUUGGCUAUAGUGAAAUAGAUAAAUAGGAUGGGAGUAUUGGUUGAAACUGCAAAUUUACCCACGUCCUUAAAACUGAAUGACUCUCCCUUGCUUAUGUGCUCUAUGAUAUUACAUGAUCCUGAGUUUGUAGUCUGUCUGGCAUUCAGUCAUUGUUCCCUUUGUUAAUGAAUUCUCCUUAAACUACGAAUAACUGUUGUAAUUCCUCGUUAUGCAAAUUUCCAGCUAUUUUGACAGUCGGCACUGACAACAAAAGGAAGAGUUUAAACAUUUCAGUGCCUUGAGCUUUAUUUAUGGCUCAAUUGAUCAAAGUAGCGUCAUACUGACAUUAGCCAUCAAUGCAGCACCCACAUUGCCAUCAAGGCCCCAAGUGUGGACAAAACCCUCUACUUUAACCAGAAAAGAUCUCACUCCCUCUGAACAUCCAAGUUAUUUGUGAUGCGAAUGGAGUGAUCCUCAGCUAGUGCUCCAGAUUCCCAGGUGCUACACAUGAUGCUUUUGUGUGGAGCAACUGUAAUCUGAAGCAUCAGUUUGAGAGAGGGGAAUUUGGUGAUUUCCUGCUCAUUGGUGAUAGUUUGUAUCCCCUCGAGCCCCAUCUCAUGGUGCCCUUGAGCAACCCCCACCACUGAUGCAGAGCACAGAUACAACAGGGGCCAUGCACAAACUAAGGUCAUUGUUGAGCAGACCAUCGGGAUGGUGAAGAGUCACUUCAGAGUAUGGCAGUCCUGCAAAUGCUAUGGGAGACAACAUCCACAGCAUGACCAACUCCACAGCAGUGUAUGUUGUCUCAUUUGGAGGUCCCUCACUUGCAUGGAUAUGAAUGUUGCAAUUAUCAGCCACUUAGAAGUUCACUUGUAAAGCCAAAUCAACUUGGUGUAAAACAUGAAUGUAUUAGAGCAUAUUGAUGUUAUUAAACACUGCAGUGGUCAGUCUCAGACCUGACUGGCAGAGGUACUGUACAUACUCCUAAUUACAGUCCAUUGCUUAGUUGGUUCUUGGUUAUGUUUAUUGAGUAUAUGGGUAAAUUUUGUAACAGCACCAACAAUGAAAUACAAAUACACAAGAGCAAA